GGUUCGUUGGUGUAAAAGGCAGCAUCCCUGAGGUGGGAAGAUCUUGCCUCUGAUUGAGGUCCUUGAGGAAGAUAUUGGUUCGAAUCCAAUACGGGCCA
This is a non-coding RNA of Sordaria macrospora k-hell, 98 nucleotides long. The record is from the annotation of a RefSeq genome assembly. Lineage: Eukaryota; Fungi; Ascomycota; Sordariomycetes; Sordariales; Sordariaceae.